CAUCGCCUCUUGCAACCAUAAGAGGUCCAGCCUGCCCAGUGAUCUAAUUCAACGGCCGCGGUAUCCUAACCGUGCAAAGGUAGCGUAAUCACUUGUUUUCUAAAUAAAGACUAGUAUGAAAGGCAUCACGAGGACUUAACUGUCUCCUUUCUCCAAUCAGUGAACCUAAUCUUCCCGUGAAAAAGCGGGAAUCCACCUAUAAGACGAGAAGACCCUGUGGAGCUUUAAACAUAAUAACACCUGCCACCAUCUCUAACAACCCCGGUACCUCCUUCAAGCGGCACCCUGAUUAUAUGUUUUUGGUUGGGGCGACCGCGGAGAAAAACUCAUCCUCCGCAAUGAACGGGACUUCUUCCUUAAACAAUAAGUCACAACUUUACGUAUUAAAAAAUUAACAUUCCUUGACCCAAUAAAUUGAUUAAUGAACCAAGUUACCCUAGGGAUA
This 445-nucleotide ribosomal RNA is filed under the name Pristimantis inguinalis group sp. ABGD cluster 146. RNAcentral describes it as "partial large subunit ribosomal RNA". It matches the Rfam family "Bacterial large subunit ribosomal RNA", at positions 1814 to 2476 of the family's 2925-position model. Lineage: Eukaryota; Metazoa; Chordata; Amphibia; Anura; Strabomantidae. The record is from RNAcentral.